RNAcentral lists this ribosomal RNA (301 nucleotides) under Clostridioides difficile. RNAcentral describes it as "bacterial SSU rRNA". It matches the Rfam family "Bacterial small subunit ribosomal RNA", at positions 354 to 673 of the family's 1533-position model. The record is from RNAcentral. Lineage: Bacteria; Bacillati; Bacillota; Clostridia; Peptostreptococcales; Peptostreptococcaceae.
GUGGGGAAUAUUGCACAAUGGGCGAAAGCCUGAUGCAGCAACGCCGCGUGAGUGAUGAAGGCCUUCGGGUCGUAAAACUCUGUCCUCAAGGAAGAUAAUGACGGUACUUGAGGAGGAAGCCCCGGCUAACUACGUGCCAGCAGCCGCGGUAAUACGUAGGGGGCUAGCGUUAUCCGGAUUUACUGGGCGUAAAGGGUGCGUAGGCGGUCUUUCAAGUCAGGAGUGAAAGGCUACGGCUCAACCGUAGUAAGCUCUUGAAACUGGGAGACUUGAGUGCAGGAGAGGAGAGUGGAAUUCCUAG